AUUGAACGCUGGCGGCAUGCUUUACACAUGCAAGUCGAGCGGUAACAGGCCUUCGGGUGCUGACGAGUGGCGAACGGGUGAGUAAUGCAUCGGAACGUACCCAGAGUUGGGGGAUAACGCAGCGAAAGCUGUGCUAAUACCGCAUGUGAUCUGAGGAUGACAUCGGGGGACCGAGCAGCAAUGUUUGGCCUCGCGCCUUUGGAGCGGCCGAUGUCGGAUUAGCUAGUUGGUGGGGUAAAGGCCUACCAAGGCGACGAUCCGUAGCUGGUCUGAGAGGACGACCAGCCACACUGGGACUGAGACACGGCCCAGACUCCUACGGGAGGCAGCAGUGGGGAAUUUUGGACAAUGGGCGCAAGCCUGAUCCAGCAAUGCCGCGUGCGGGAAGAAGGCCUUCGGGUUGUAAACCGCUUUUGGCAGGAACGAAACGGUGUCCGCUAAUACCGGGCGCUAAUGACGGUACCUGCAGAAUAAGCACCGGCUAACUACGUG
This 492-nucleotide ribosomal RNA is filed under the name uncultured bacterium. Its description in RNAcentral is "partial 16S ribosomal RNA". It matches the Rfam family "Bacterial small subunit ribosomal RNA", at positions 30 to 507 of the family's 1533-position model. The record is from RNAcentral.